This is a long non-coding RNA of Salarias fasciatus (jewelled blenny), 119 nucleotides long. RefSeq lists it as uncharacterized. NCBI's taxonomy places the organism in Eukaryota, Metazoa, Chordata, Actinopteri, Blenniiformes, Blenniidae. The record is from RefSeq and is a predicted model, not a curated record. The transcript has 3 exons.
AAAGAGAAGAGGCAGAGUGAGAUGAUCUUACCAUCCGUUUUAUCAGAGGCAUCAUCUUUAGAAGCAAAGUCAGAGAGAGAGAGAGAGAGAGAGAGAGAGAGAGAGAGAGAGAGAGAGAG